AGCGGCGGACGGGUGAGUAACGCGUAAAUAACCUGCCAUAGACACAAGGAUAGCCAUCGGAAACGGUGAUUAAUACUUGAUGAGGCUACAGAUUCGCAUGAAUCAGUAGUUAAAGAAUUUUGGCGUAUGAUGGAUUUGCGUUUGAUUAGCUAGUUGGUAAGGUAAAAGCUUACCAAGGCGAUGAUCAAUAGCCGGCCUGAGAGGGUGAACGGCCACACUGGAACUGAGACACGGUCCAGACUCCUACGGGAGGCAGCAGUGGGGAAUAUUGCACAAUGGAGGAAACUCUGGUGCAGCAACGCCGCGUGAACGAAGAAGGCUUUCGAGUCGUAAAGUUCUGUUAUAGGGGAAGAAGCAGUGACGGUACCCUAUGAGAAAGCCACGGCUAAUUACGUGCCAGCAGCCGCGGUAAUACGUAAGUGGCAAGCGUUAUCCGGAAUUACUGGGCAUAAAGAGUUCGUAGGCGGUCAAUCAAGCCAAUAGUGAAAUCCAUCGGCCUAACCGAUGUAAGCUAAUGGAACUAAGUGACUUGAGUACAGGAGAGGAAAGUGGAAUUCCUAGUGUAGUAGUGAAAUGCGUAGAUAUUAGGAAGAACAUCAGUAGCGAAGGCGACUUUCUGGACUGUAACUGACGCUGAGGAACGAAAGCGUGGGGAGCGAACAGGAUUAGAUACCCUGGUAGUCCACGCCGUAAACGAUGGAUACUUGGU
This 709-nucleotide ribosomal RNA is filed under the name uncultured organism. RNAcentral describes it as "bacterial SSU rRNA". It matches the Rfam family "Bacterial small subunit ribosomal RNA", at positions 94 to 821 of the family's 1533-position model. The record is from RNAcentral.